This is a long non-coding RNA of Achroia grisella, 1170 nucleotides long. RefSeq lists it as uncharacterized. The transcript is spliced from 3 exons. The record is from RefSeq and is a predicted model, not a curated record. NCBI's taxonomy places the organism in Eukaryota, Metazoa, Arthropoda, Insecta, Lepidoptera, Pyralidae.
UCAAAAGAAGAGAAGGAAAACUGUCCCCACCAUUUUGCAUUUUGUUUACAAUUGAUUAUUUUAUAUAGUUUUGGAAAUAUAUGUGGUUAUUGUGACUUGGUGUUGGUAGUUAUUGUGGAUUUGUGACUGAAAUGCUAAAAUUAAUUGAAUAUCCAAUGAGAACAAUGGAAAACAAAAGUCCCAAGCGAGAAAUAUUUGGGUAAAGACAAGGAUAUAUAGUGUUUACGGGCCACUUUGUGAAUAUUUAUUAAUUUGUUUUUAGUAUUUUAAUGCAGACACGCAUUAUUUUGAAGUGACAAAAUCAUUUUCAGAUUUCAAUGUUUCAUUAGUAAAUCAACAAUCCAGGAUACAUUUUUUUAGAACUAUAGUGGUAAGUGAUACCUUAAUAUGCCUGAUCGAUGGAACACGACUUGUUUUGAUAAAUAGAUAUUUUAUAUAAUACAAUAUAAUUUGACAUGGCACGUUGACGAUGGAAAGGGACCAGCGUGUGAUGUCAUUAAGUGCGGCAUAUCUCGAGAAGCGGCUUACACUUUUUUAUCAUGACAGUCCGUGAUGUCCUAGCUUGUCGACUUCCCUGACACAGGGAUAUUUAUGAGGAGCGCAGAUUGGAUUCCCAAGUCGUGAGCAUGUCGCGAAUCGGAGCGUGUCAGAGUGUAACUAAAUAAAUUAUUGAAUAUGCAAAGGAGGGCUGUGCUACAUAUUUCAAUAUUUGAAGACCCACAGGGGAGUCCAAAAGAUUAACUAUAGUGAAACAUAUGGAGAUCAGAGAGGUUAAUAAAGCUGAUAUUUCAUUUCUACCACAGGAUGUACACAAUAAUAUGAUUUUGAUGCACCUUUAGAUGCCCAUUUGGUGCAUUUUUGGAUGUAAAUGAUCACCUAGGAUUUUUGGAAAAUAAAGAUAAUGAGGGGUGCAUGGCUGUGUGGUAAUCUGUGAUAUUUAAAAUUAGAUUUAAAAAAUAUCCUGUACAUAUUUUUAAAUUUUCAUGUAAUAUUUUUGACCUGAAGCUGGUACCGGUGUGUCAGCUUCAUGUUAAAAAAUAACAUCUGUUUUAGAAGUUCAAAAGUUUAUAUUAAUUAAUUUAUUAUUUCAAUACUUGUAACAUUACUGAUAUUAAUUUGAUGUAAAAAAUUGUAGUUUUACAUUUGAUUAAAAUACAAGAACAAUUUAAU